AAAUUGAAGAGUUUGAUCAUGGCUCAGAUUGAACGCUGGCGGCAGGCCUAACACAUGCAAGUCGAACGGUAACAGGAAGCAGCUUGCUGCUUCGCUGACGAGUGGCGGACGGGUGAGUAAUGUCUGGGAAACUGCCUGAUGGAGGGGGAUAACUACUGGAAACGGUGGCUAAUACCGCAUAACGUCGCAAGACCAAAGAGGGGGACCUUCGGGCCUCUUGCCAUCAGAUGUGCCCAGAUGGGAUUAGCUUGUUGGUGGGGUAACGGCUCACCAAGGCGACGAUCCCUAGCUGGUCUGAGAGGAUGACCAGCCACACUGGAACUGAGACACGGUCCAGACUCCUACGGGAGGCAGCAGUGGGGAAUAUUGCACAAUGGGCGCAAGCCUGAUGCAGCCAUGCCGCGUGUAUGAAGAAGGCCUUCGGGUUGUAAAGUACUUUCAGCGGGGAGGAAGGUGUUGUGGUUAAUAACCGCAGCAAUUGACGUUACCCGCAGAAGAAGCACCGGCUAACUCCGUGCCAGCAGCCGCGGUAAUACGGAGGGUGCAAGCGUUAAUCGGAAUUACUGGGCGUAAAGCGCACGCAGGCGGUCUGUCAAGUCGGAUGUGAAAUCCCCGGGCUCAACCUGGGAACUGCAUUCGAAACUGGCAGGCUUGAGUCUUGUAGAGGGGGGUAGAAUUCCAGGUGUAGCGGUGAAAUGCGUAGAGAUCUGGAGGAAUACCGGUGGCGAAGGCGGCCCCCUGGACAAAGACUGACGCUCAGGUGCGAAAGCGUGGGGAGCAAACAGGAUUAGAUACCCUGGUAGUCCACGCCGUAAACGAUGUCUACUUGGAGGCUGUGCCCUUGAGGCGUGGCUUCCGGAGCUAACGCGUUAAGUAGACCGCCUGGGGAGUACGGCCGCAAGGUUAAAACUCAAAUGAAUUGACGGGGGCCCGCACAAGCGGUGGAGCAUGUGGUUUAAUUCGAUGCAACGCGAAGAACCUUACCUGGUCUUGACAUCCACGGAAGGUCUCAGAGAUGAGACUGUGCCUUCGGGAACCGUGAGACAGGUGCUGCAUGGCUGUCGUCAGCUCGUGUUGUGAAAUGUUGGGUUAAGUCCCGCAACGAGCGCAACCCUUAUCCUUUGUUGCCAGCGGUUAGGCCGGGAACUCAAAGGAGACUGCCAGUGAUAAACUGGAGGAAGGUGGGGAUGACGUCAAGUCAUCAUGGCCCUUACGACCAGGGCUACACACGUGCUACAAUGGCGCAUACAAAGAGAAGCGACCUCGCGAGAGCAAGCGGACCUCAUAAAGUGCGUCGUAGUCCGGAUUGGAGUCUGCAACUCGACUCCAUGAAGUCGGAAUCGCUAGUAAUCGUGGAUCAGAAUGCCACGGUGAAUACGUUCCCGGGCCUUGUACACACCGCCCGUCACACCAUGGGAGUGGGUUGCAAAAGAAGUAGGUAGCUUAACCUUCGGGAGGGCGCUUACCACUUUGUGAUUCAUGACUGGGGUGAAGUCGUAACAAGGUAACCGUAGGGGAACCUGCGGUUGGAUCACCUCCUUACCAGAAAGAA
Molecule: ribosomal RNA, 1552 nt
Filed under: Salmonella enterica subsp. VII serovar 1,40:g,z51:--
Lineage: Bacteria; Pseudomonadati; Pseudomonadota; Gammaproteobacteria; Enterobacterales; Enterobacteriaceae
Description: bacterial SSU rRNA
Rfam family: Bacterial small subunit ribosomal RNA
Source: RNAcentral